Long non-coding RNA from Pongo pygmaeus (Bornean orangutan), 511 nucleotides. RefSeq lists it as uncharacterized. NCBI's taxonomy places the organism in Eukaryota, Metazoa, Chordata, Mammalia, Primates, Hominidae. The transcript is spliced from 3 exons. The record is from RefSeq and is a predicted model, not a curated record.
UAUUAUUCCUAGUGUCUGAUAUUUUAUUGUUAAACCAAGACGAGCUUUGAAGAGGAACUUUUCUACUUUCUACACUUGUGGAGUUAGAAGCAACAUAAAGAGCAACUUGAGAAGAUCCCAUGCCGGGACAGGUGUGGCUACAACAGAAUGAGAGCAAGAGAGAGUGAAAGUAGAUGAAGUCUGAGAAUUAGCCAACAGAUACCAGGGUCAUAUUUUCUACAAAAAAUCUAUAAUCCAAUAGGAAAGAGUAAAACAUCUCUGCUAUACCCAUGGACAGGAACUCAGAACCACAUGGCUGCUCUCAGCCCCAUGGCAGUAUGUCUAUGAAACCCUACGGAACACAAUUUGAAAACCAUCACUCUAAAGAAAUACUACUGCUUGUCAUCAGCUGUGAAGAAUGUCCCGUGGAACAGUACCUGGGCAAUUAUAUUUUCUUCCGUGCCUCCUGUUUUCUCUUAUGUAAAAAUCUCAUCAGAACAGGAUGCUAUCAUUAAACCCAACAAAAAAACCC